CAUGCAAGUCGAACGAGCAAGAGAGAGCUUGCUCUCUCGAGCGAGUGGCGAACGGGUGAGUAACGCGUGAGGAACCUGCCUCAAAGAGGGGGACAACAGUUGGAAACGACUGCUAAUACCGCAUAAGCCCACGGUGCCGCAUGGCACAGAGGGAAAAGGAGCAAUCCGCUUUGAGAUGGCCUCGCGUCCGAUUAGCUAGUUGGUGAGGUAACGGCCCACCAAGGCAACGAUCGGUAGCCGGACUGAGAGGUUGAACGGCCACAUUGGGACUGAGACACGGCCCAGACUCCUACGGGAGGCAGCAGUGGGGAAUAUUGCACAAUGGGGGAAACCCUGAUGCAGCGACGCCGCGUGGAGGAAGAAGGUCUUCGGAUUGUAAACUCCUGUUGUUGGGGAAGAUAAUGACGGUACCCAACAAGGAAGUGACGGCUAACUACGUGCCAGCAGCCGCGGUAAAACGUAGGCCACAAGCGUUGUCCGGAAUUACUGGGUGUAAAGGGAGCGCAGGCGGGAAGACAAGUUGGAAGUGAAAUCUAUGGGCUCAACCCAUAAACUGCUUUCAAAACUGUUUUUCUUGAGUAGUGCAGAGGUAGGCGGAAUUCCCGGUGUAGCGGCGGAAUGCGUAGAUAUCGGGAGGAACACCAGUGGCGAAGGCGGCCUACUGGGCACCAACUGACGCUGAGGCUCGAAAGUGUGGGUAGCAAACAGGAUUAGAUACCCUGGUAGUCCACACCGUAAACGAUGAUUACUAGGUGUUGGAGGAUUGACCCCUUCAGUGCCGCAGUUAACACAAUAAGUAAUCCACCUGGGGAGUACGACCGCA
Molecule: ribosomal RNA, 823 nt
Filed under: uncultured bacterium
Lineage: Bacteria
Description: bacterial SSU rRNA
Rfam family: Bacterial small subunit ribosomal RNA
Source: RNAcentral